GACGAACGCUGGCGGCGUGCUUAACACAUGCAAGUCGAACGGAAAGGCCCCUUUGGGGGUACUCGAGUGGCGAACGGGUGAGUAACACGUGAGUAACCUGCCCUUGACUUCGGGAUAACUUCAGGAAACUGGGGCUAAUACCGGAUAGGAAUCAUUGCUGCAUGGUGGGGGUUGGAAAGCUUCGGCGGUUUUGGAUGGACUCACGGCUUAUCAGCUUGUUGGUGGGGUAGUGGCUUACCAAGGCUUUGACGGGUAGCCGGCCUGAGAGGGCGACCGGCCACAUUGGGACUGAGAUACGGCCCAGACUCCUACGGGAGGCAGCAGUGGGGAAUAUUGCACAAUGGGCGGAAGCCUGAUGCAGCAACGCCGCGUGCGGGAUGACGGCCUUCGGGUUGUAAACCGCUUUCAGCAGGGGCGAAGCUUGUGGUGACGGUACCUGCAGAAGAAGCACCGGCUAACUACGUG
This 465-nucleotide ribosomal RNA is filed under the name uncultured bacterium. RNAcentral describes it as "partial 16S ribosomal RNA". It matches the Rfam family "Bacterial small subunit ribosomal RNA", at positions 28 to 507 of the family's 1533-position model. The record is from RNAcentral.